GCGGAGGAAAAGAAACCAACAGGGAUUGCCUCAGUAACGGCGAGUGAAGCGGCAUCAGCUCAAAUUUGAAAUCUGGUCUCACGAUCCGAGUUGUAAUUUGUAGAGAAUGCUUCGGGCGAGGUCCGGUCUAAGUUCCUUGGAACAGGACGUCAUAGAGGGUGAGAAUCCCGUAUGCGACCGGGUGCCUCCGCCCAUGUGAAGCUUCUUCGACGAGUCGAGUUGUUUGGGAAUGCAGCUCAAAAUGGGUGGUAAAUUUCAUCUAAAGCUAAAUACUGGCCAGAGACCGAUAGCGCACAAGUAGAGUGAUCGAAAGAUGAAAAGCACUUUGGAAAGAGAGUUAAACAGUACGUGAAAUUGUUGAAAGGGAAGCGCUUGCAACCAGACUUGCGCGUGGCCGAUCAUCCGGUGUUCUCACCGGUGCACUCGGUUGCGCUCAGGCCAGCAUCGGUUUCGGUGGUUGGAUAAAGGCCCGGGGAAUGUAGCUCCUCUCGGGGAGUGUUAUAGCCCUGGGUGCAAUGCAGCCUACCGGGACCGAGGACCGCGCUUCGGCUAGGAUGCUGGCGUAAUGGUUGUAAGCGACCCGUCUUGAAACACGGACCAAGGAGUCUAACAUCUAUGCGAGUGUUUGGGUGUCAAACCCAUACGCGUAAUGAAAGUGAACGGAGGUGAGAACCCUUAAGGGUGCAUCAUCGACCGAUCCUGAAGUCUUCGGAUGGAUUUGAGUAAGAGCAUAGCUGUUGGGACCCGAAAGAUGGUGAACUAUGCCUGAAUAGGGUGAAGCCAGAGGAAACUCUGGUGGAGGCUCGCAGCGGUUCUGACGUGCAAAUCGAUCGUCAAAUUUGGGUAUAGGGGCGAAAGACUAAUCGAACCAU
Molecule: ribosomal RNA, 872 nt
Filed under: Collophorina africana
Lineage: Eukaryota; Fungi; Ascomycota; Leotiomycetes; Phacidiales
Description: partial large subunit ribosomal RNA
Rfam family: Eukaryotic large subunit ribosomal RNA
Source: RNAcentral